UACGAAGGGGGCUAGCGUUGUUCGGAAUCACUGGGCGUAAAGGGUGCGUAGGCGGGUUGUUAAGUCAGGGGUGAAAUCCCGGGGCUCAACCUCGGAACUGCCUUUGAUACUGACUUCCUAGAGUCCGGAAGAGGUAAGUGGAACUGCGAGUGUAGAGGUGAAAUUCGUAGAUAUUCGCAAGAACACCGGUGGCGAAGGCGGCACACUGGUCCGGAACUGACGCUGAGGCACGACAGCGUGGGGAGCAAACAGG
Molecule: ribosomal RNA, 253 nt
Filed under: uncultured bacterium
Lineage: Bacteria
Description: partial 16S ribosomal RNA
Rfam family: Bacterial small subunit ribosomal RNA
Source: RNAcentral